UACGGAGGAUGCAAGCGUUAUCCGGAUUCAUUGGGUUUAAAGGGUACGUAGGCGGCCUGUUAAGUCAGUGGUGAAAGUUUGCGGCUUAACCGUAAAUUGCCAUUGAUACUGAUGGGCUUGAGUACAGUUGAGGUAGGCGGAAUGUGUAGUGUAGCGGUGAAAUGCUUAGAUAUUACACAGAACUCCGAUUGCGAAGGCAGCUUACUAAACUGUCACUGACGCUGAGGUACGAAAGCGUGGGGAGCGAACAGG
RNAcentral lists this ribosomal RNA (252 nucleotides) under uncultured bacterium. Its description in RNAcentral is "partial 16S ribosomal RNA". It matches the Rfam family "Bacterial small subunit ribosomal RNA", at positions 524 to 776 of the family's 1533-position model. The record is from RNAcentral.